UUGAAAGGGAAACGAUUGAAGUCAGUCAUACCAACGGGAAAUCAACCUUUUGAGCUCGGUCUCGUGGGUUUUGAAGAGUUUCAAAGCCUUCGGAUUCGCGAGAUUGGGAUCUCUCGGUGUACUUUCUCGUACGGUUAGUCAACAUCGGUUUUGAAUGUCAUAAAAUGACUGGAGGAAUGUAGCUUCGAUCUCGUAUUGAAGUGUUAUAGCCUUUGGUAGAUGUGAUGUUUGAGACCGAGGAUUACAACGGAUGCCCUUCAGGGCUAUUCGUCUGAUCUCUGAUACGUUGCCUUGAUGUUGAAAGCUUGCUUAUGAUGUUAGGGUAUUACGGUCAAAAGGUUAGAACGAAUUACAUUCGUUAAGGAUGUUGACGUA
This 375-nucleotide ribosomal RNA is filed under the name uncultured Glomus. Its description in RNAcentral is "LSU rRNA". The record is from RNAcentral. Lineage: Eukaryota; Fungi; Glomeromycota; Glomeromycetes; Glomerales; Glomeraceae.